Molecule: small RNA, 148 nt
Filed under: Papio anubis (olive baboon)
Lineage: Eukaryota; Metazoa; Chordata; Mammalia; Primates; Cercopithecidae
Description: Metazoan signal recognition particle RNA (ENSPANG00000041110.1)
Source: Rfam by way of RNAcentral
GCUGGGCUUGGUGGCGCACGCCUGUAAUCCCAGCUACUCUGGAGGCUGAGGUAGGAGAAUCGCUUGAACCCAGGAGGCAGAGGUUGCAGUGAGCCGAGAUUGUGCCACUGGACUCCAGCCUGGGUGACAGAGUAAGACUCUGUCUCAA